This 393-nucleotide long non-coding RNA is filed under the name Salmo salar (Atlantic salmon). RNAcentral's name for it is "lncRNA (ENSSSAG00000106071.1)". The record is from RNAcentral. Lineage: Eukaryota; Metazoa; Chordata; Actinopteri; Salmoniformes; Salmonidae.
GGUGGAUCUGUAGUUCCUCUCAUCUUGGCGAUGGAAGGUUAAUAUGUGGUUCCUCUCAUCUUGGCGAUGGAAGGUGAAUGUAGUUCAUCUCAUCUUGGCGAUGGAAGAAGAAUCUGUAGUUCCUCUCAUCUUGGCGAUGGAAGGUGAAUCUGUAGUUCCUCUCAUCUUGGCGAUGGAAGGUGAAUCUGUAGUUCCUCUCAUCUUGGCGAUGGAAGGUGAAUGUAGUUCCUCUCAUCUUGGCGAUGGAAGGUGGAUCUGUAGUUCCUCUCAUCUUGCCGAUGGAAGGUGGAUCUGUAGUUCCUCUCAUCUUGGCGAUGAUAGGUUAAUCUGUGGUUCCUCUCAUCUUGGCGAUGGAAGGUGGAUCUGUAGUUCCUCUCAUCUUGGCGAUGGAAG